Molecule: ribosomal RNA, 497 nt
Filed under: uncultured bacterium
Lineage: Bacteria
Description: partial 16S ribosomal RNA
Rfam family: Bacterial small subunit ribosomal RNA
Source: RNAcentral
GAUGAACGCUGGCGGCGUGCCUAAUACACGCAAGUCGAACGAACGGACGAGAAGCUUGCUUCUCUGAUGUUAGCGGCGGACGGGUGAGUAACACGUGGAUAACCUACCUAUAAGACUGGGAUAACUUCGGGAAACCGGAGCUAAUACCGGAUAAUAUUUUGAACCGCAUGGUUCAAAAGUGAAAGACGGUCUUGCUGUCACUUAUAGAUGGAUCCGCGCUGCAUUAGCUAGUUGGUAAGGUAACGGCUUACCAAGGCAACGAUGCAUAGCCGACCUGAGAGGGUGAUCGGCCACCCUGGAACUGAGACACGGUCCAGACUCCUACGGGAGGCAGCAGUAGGGAAUCUUCCGCAAUGGGCGAAAGCCUGACGGAGCAACGCCGCGUGAGUGAUGAAGGUCUUCGGAUCGUAAAACUCUGUUAUUAGGGAAGAACAUAUGUGUAAGUAACUGUGCACAUCUUGACGGUACCUAAUCAGAAAGCCACGGCUAACUACGUG